Molecule: long non-coding RNA, 548 nt
Organism: Lytechinus variegatus (green sea urchin)
Lineage: Eukaryota; Metazoa; Echinodermata; Echinoidea; Temnopleuroida; Toxopneustidae
Exons: 3
Source: RefSeq, a predicted model, not a curated record
ACAGUGGAAAACUAUGGCCUUAAAGACUUUCACCACACUGUUGCUACUUCUCGCUGCUGCAGUUGUCUACAGUACUUUCGCACAAGAAACUGGAGAGGGCGCUACUUAUUUAGAUCCCAUUGGACCCAAAUUGCCUGACGAGCAUACGAUGAAAGAAACUGUCGCAUGCACAGUAAAUGGUCAAAACUGUCAGUGUUAUCCCAGAACAAAUAUUAUAUACAGCUGCUAAAAGGACGUAAUCAUUUCUGUAUAGCAGGAAGCGGACGGACCGCCUGCGUGGAAAACCAUUUAAUUGGGGAGUCUGAACGUGACGCGACAUUUGCUCCGGCGACAAUAGCCCCGGUCUUUCUUUCGUCUAAAAUAGGGUUAUGAUUAGGUUUCCUGUAAAGUCUUAGGUUUAUGGUUCGGUUUAAUAAUAAUAACAAGAAGAAUAAUGUUCAUUUAUAUAGCGCUUAUUAUAAUAGCAUAGAGUAUAUUAUUAAACCCAGGGUUGAAGUUGGUAAUUCGAUUAAUAAUAAUAAUAAUAAUAAACACAGCAUUUAUUAUGC